Non-coding RNA from Nitrincola nitratireducens, 175 nucleotides. Lineage: Bacteria; Pseudomonadati; Pseudomonadota; Gammaproteobacteria; Oceanospirillales; Oceanospirillaceae. The record is from Rfam.
GUUGCCGCGAGGCAGGUGCUGACGGAUGCCCAAUCCAAAAUGACGGGAUGAUGUACACGAACCAGAUCUGAGGUGUGAUACAGCUGGGGCGAGCGGGCACGUGACCGCAAAGCCUUCCAUCUGCGAUUAGGCUGUAUUUCAUAAAUCUGGCAUCUACGUCAGGAAAGCUACGUGU